Molecule: ribosomal RNA, 408 nt
Filed under: uncultured bacterium
Lineage: Bacteria
Description: partial 16S ribosomal RNA
Rfam family: Bacterial small subunit ribosomal RNA
Source: RNAcentral
GACGAACGCUGGCGGCGUGCUUAACACAUGCAAGUCGAACGAAGUGGCGAACGGGUGAGUAACGCGUAAUCAACCUGCCCUUCAGAGGGGGACAACAGUUGGAAACGACUUCUAAUACCGCAUACUGAAGGAGGGGAUUGAGUCUGAUUAGCUAGUUGGAGGGGUAACGGCCCACCAAGGCGAUGAUCAGUAGCCGGGUUGAGAGGAUGAACGGGCAAAUUGGGACUGAGAAACGGCCCAGACUGCUACGGGAGGAAGCAGGGGGGAAUCGUCCGGAAUGGAAGAAAGUCUGACGGAGCAACGCCGCGGGAGUGAUGACGGCCUUCGGGUUGUAAAGCGCUGUUAAUCGGGACGCGGUACCGGAAUAGAAAGCCACGGCUAACUACGUGCCAGCCGCCGCGGUAAUUC